AUUGAACGCUGGCGGCAGGCCUAACACAUGCAAGUCGAGCGGCAGCGGGAAAGUAGCUUGCUACUUUUGCUGGCGAGCGGCGGACGGGUGAGUAAUGCCUGGGAAAUUGCCCAGUCGAGGGGGAUAACAGUUGGAAACGACUGCUAAUACCGCAUACGCCCUACGGGGGAAAGCAGGGGACCUUCGGGCCUUGCGCGAUUGGAUAUGCCCAGGUGGGAUUAGCUAGUUGGUGAGGUAAUGGCUCACCAAGGCGACGAUCCCUAGCUGGUCUGAGAGGAUGAUCAGCCACACUGGAACUGAGACACGGUCCAGACUCCUACGGGAGGCAGCAGUGGGGAAUACUGCACAAUGGGGGAAACCCUGAUGCAGCCAUGCCGCGUGUGUGAAGAAGGCCUUCGGGUUGUAAAGCACUUUCAGCGAGGAGGAAAGGUUGAUGCCUAAUACGUAUCAACUGUGACGUUACUCGCAGAAGAAGCACCGGCUAACUCCGUGCCAGCAGCCGCAGUAA
RNAcentral lists this ribosomal RNA (508 nucleotides) under uncultured bacterium. Its description in RNAcentral is "partial 16S ribosomal RNA". It matches the Rfam family "Bacterial small subunit ribosomal RNA", at positions 30 to 523 of the family's 1533-position model. The record is from RNAcentral.